RNAcentral lists this ribosomal RNA (795 nucleotides) under uncultured bacterium. Its description in RNAcentral is "bacterial SSU rRNA". It matches the Rfam family "Bacterial small subunit ribosomal RNA", at positions 61 to 844 of the family's 1533-position model. The record is from RNAcentral.
GUCGAGGGGCAGCGGGGUUGUAGCAAUACAACUGCCGGCGACCGGCGCACGGGUGAGUAACACGUAUGUAACCUGCCCUCUGCAGGGGGAUAAGCGGAAGAAAUUCCGUCUAAUACCGCAUAAUACAAUUUGGAGACAUCUCCGGGUUGUCAAAGGAGUGAUCCGGCAGAGGAUGGACAUGCGGCGCAUUAGCUAGUCGGCGGGGUAACGGCCCACCGAGGCUACGAUGCGUAGGGGUUCUGAGAGGAAGGUCCCCCACACUGGUACUGAGACACGGACCAGACUCCUACGGGAGGCAGCAGUGAGGAAUAUUGGUCAAUGGGCGGAAGCCUGAACCAGCCAAGUCGCGUGAGGGAAGACGGUCCUAUGGAUUGUAAACCUCUUUUGCAGGGGAGCAAGGCGCGGUACGUGUACCGCGAAGGAGAGUACCCUGAGAAAAAGCAUCGGCUAACUCCGUGCCAGCAGCCGCGGUAAUACGGAGGAUGCGAGCGUUAUCCGGAUUUAUUGGGUUUAAAGGGUGCGCAGGCGGACUGUUAAGUCAGCGGUAAAAUGUCGGUGCUCAACACCGGCCGGCCGUUGAAACUGGCAGCCUUGAGUGAGCGAGAAGUAUGCGGAAUGCGUGGUGUAGCGGUGAAAUGCAUAGAUAUCACGCAGAACUCCGAUUGCGAAGGCAGCAUACCGGCGCGCAACUGACGCUCAUGCACGAAAGCGUGGGUAUCGAACAGGAUUAGAUACCCUGGUAGUCCACGCAGUAAACGAUGAACACUAACUGUUCGGCCAGAAUGAUGGCUGAGU